RNAcentral lists this long non-coding RNA (290 nucleotides) under Glycine max (soybean). Its description in RNAcentral is "long non-coding RNA (GMAX_LNC001807)". The record is from RNAcentral. Lineage: Eukaryota; Viridiplantae; Streptophyta; Magnoliopsida; Fabales; Fabaceae.
AUCUAUCAAAAAUACCAAUUUACAAACAUUGGAUAAUUUGAUUGCAUCAAGAUGACUCCAAAAUAUGUCACGUACAACAUCUUCAUCCUUCAAUUUAUGCCAAUGAAUAUACUAAUCUCGUUCAAGAAGCUUUAUUAGUUGUUGCGUUUCAGUAUUACUGUCUCUUAUGGAAGAACGGUAUGCAUUUCUUGCAUUGUAUACUUGCUUGAUUGUUGUAUUACUAUUGACAUUAUGCUCCUUCAACAUUAGAAGAAUAUUUCUUGGUUUCACCAUUGACUUUGUCAUAUCAG